This is a long non-coding RNA of Hippoglossus stenolepis (Pacific halibut), 482 nucleotides long. RefSeq lists it as uncharacterized. The record is from RefSeq and is a predicted model, not a curated record. NCBI's taxonomy places the organism in Eukaryota, Metazoa, Chordata, Actinopteri, Pleuronectiformes, Pleuronectidae. The transcript has 6 exons.
GACUAAACUUCCAGCCUUGUUGAUCUAAUGGGAUCUUGGGCAGUUGGGUGCAGAAGAUGUCACACAAACAAUGUUCUGAUCGCUCUCUGAGAUCCGACUGAACGGCCAAGACGAGGUUGACUGAGGUGAGAAUUCAGAGAAUUGCAAAAUGGCUUUUGCUGGUUCAGUGAUGUCUUUAACAAAUGUCUGACCUGAACUUGUAAUGUGGACAACAUUGUUGCUGAGUAACCUGCAAACUUGAAGCUUAAUAGACCAAUCACUGACUUGUAAUAAGGGUAUUUCUGUCUCUUCUCCAGGAAAAGGCUGCAUCUCUUGGGCUGACCUUGAAAGCAGAUGUAAUGUCCUCUGGCCCUCAGACAGCCUGAUGUUUUACUCUAAAGAUUCUGUGGUAUUAUGGCGACCGGAGUUUGACCUGCAGACAAUUUAAUAUCUCUUGGCAAAUGUGUUUUCAACAUUGUUGCAAUAAAAUACUCAAAACGAAA